GACGAACCGUCCUAACGUUGUUCGGAAUCACUGGGCUUAAAGGGCGCGUAGGCGGCCGGCAAAGUCCGAGGUGAAAUCCCACAGCUUAACUGUGGAAGUGCCUUGGAUACUAGUCGGCUCGAGGGAGGUAGGGGUGCGUGGAACUUCUGGUGGAGCGGUGAAAUGCGUUGAUAUCAGAAGGAACGCCGGUGGCGAAAGCGACGCACUGGAUCUCUACUGACGCUGAGGCGCGAAAGCUAGGGGAGCAAACGGG
This 253-nucleotide ribosomal RNA is filed under the name uncultured bacterium. RNAcentral describes it as "partial 16S ribosomal RNA". It matches the Rfam family "Bacterial small subunit ribosomal RNA", at positions 524 to 776 of the family's 1533-position model. The record is from RNAcentral.